This 473-nucleotide ribosomal RNA is filed under the name uncultured bacterium. RNAcentral's name for it is "partial 16S ribosomal RNA". It matches the Rfam family "Bacterial small subunit ribosomal RNA", at positions 28 to 506 of the family's 1533-position model. The record is from RNAcentral.
GACGAACGCUGGCGGCGUGCUUAACACAUGCGAGUCGAGCGGUAAGGCUCCUUCGGGAGUACACGAGCGGCGAACGGGUGAGUAACACGUGAGUAAUCUGCACUUCACUUCGGGAUAACCACCGGAAACGGUGGCUAAUACCGAAUACGACCAGUCUUCGCAUGAGGUGCUGGUGGUAAGUCUUUUCGGUGCAGGAUGUGCUCGCGGCCUAUACGCUUGUUGGUGGGGUAAUGGCCUACCAAGGCUUCGACGGGUAGCCGGCCUGGGAGGGUGCGCGGACAGACUGGGACUGAGACACGGCCCAGACCCCUACGGGGGGCAGCAGUGGGAAAGAUGGAACAAUGAGCGAGAGCCGCAGCCAGCAACACCGCGGGAGGGGUGACGGCCUUCGGGUUGUAAACCGCUUACAGUACCGACGAAGCGCCCUGUCGGGUGGUAACGGAAGGAACAGAAGAAGGACCGGCCAACUACGU